This 253-nucleotide ribosomal RNA is filed under the name uncultured bacterium. Its description in RNAcentral is "partial 16S ribosomal RNA". It matches the Rfam family "Bacterial small subunit ribosomal RNA", at positions 524 to 776 of the family's 1533-position model. The record is from RNAcentral.
UACGGAGGGUGCAAGCGUUAUCCGGAUUCACUGGGUUUAAAGGGUGUGUAGGCGGAUUUUUAAGUCAGUGGUGAAAUCUCCGGGCUCAACCCGGAAACUGCCAUUGAUACUAUUAGUCUUGAAUUCUGUUGAGGUGGGCGGAAUACAUCAUGUAGCGGUGAAAUGCUUAGAUAUGAUGUAGAACACCUAUUGCGAAGGCAGCUCACUAAGCAGACAUUGACGCUGAGGCACGAAAGCGUGGGGAUCAAACAGG